RNAcentral lists this ribosomal RNA (277 nucleotides) under uncultured bacterium. RNAcentral describes it as "partial 16S ribosomal RNA". It matches the Rfam family "Bacterial small subunit ribosomal RNA", at positions 28 to 314 of the family's 1533-position model. The record is from RNAcentral.
GACGAACGCUGGCGGCGCACCUAAGACAUGCAAGUCGGACGAUCGGGAGACCGAUAGUGGCGGACGGGUGAGUAACACGUGGGCGACCUGCCGCGCGGUGGGGGAUAACGGGGGGAAACCCUCGCUAAGACCGCAUGCGACCGCUCCCAUAGGGGGGAGGGGGGAAAUGCCGAGAGGCAGCCGCGCGAGGGGCCCGCGGCGGAUUAGCUAGUUGGGGGGGUAGCGGCCCCCCAAGGCGACGAUCCGUAGCUGGUCUGAGAGGACGGCCAGCCACACC